This 385-nucleotide ribosomal RNA is filed under the name uncultured bacterium. RNAcentral's name for it is "bacterial SSU rRNA". It matches the Rfam family "Bacterial small subunit ribosomal RNA", at positions 28 to 412 of the family's 1533-position model. The record is from RNAcentral.
GAUGAACGCUAGCGGCAGGCUUAACACAUGCAAGUCGAGGGGUAACAGGGUAGCAAUACCGCUGACGACCGGCAAACGGGUGCGGAACACGUACGCAACCUACCCUUAUCUGGGGAAUAGCCCGAAGAAAUUCGGAUUAAUACCCCAUAGUAUCACUUGGUGGCAUCACCGGAUGAUUAAAGAUUUAUUGGAUAGGGAUGGGCGUGCGUCCUAUUAGCUAGUUGGUGGGGUAACGGCCUACCAAGGCGACGAUAGGUAGCUGGUGUGAGAGCACGACCAGCCACACGGGCACUGAGACACGGGCCCGACUCCUACGGGAGGCAGCAGUGAGGAAUAUUGGUCAAUGGGCGAGAGCCUGAACCAGCCAUGCCGCGUGAAGGAUGAA